AGAGUUUGAUCCUGGCUCAGGACGAACGCUGGCGGCGUGCCUAAUACAUGCAAGUAGAACGCUGAAGAGAGGAGCUUGCUCUUCUUGGAUGAGUUGCGAACGGGUGAGUAACGCGUAGGUAACCUGCCUUGUAGCGGGGGAUAACUAUUGGAAACGAUAGCUAAUACCGCAUAACAAUGGAUGACACAUGUCAUUUAUUUGAAAGGGGCAAUUGCUCCACUACAAGAUGGACCUGCGUUGUAUUAGCUAGUAGGUGAGGUAACGGCUCACCUAGGCGACGAUACAUAGCCGACCUGAGAGGGUGAUCGGCCACACUGGGACUGAGACACGGCCCAGACUCCUACGGGAGGCAGCAGUAGGGAAUCUUCGGCAAUGGGGGCAACCCUGACCGAGCAACGCCGCGUGAGUGAAGAAGGUUUUCGGAUCGUAAAGCUCUGUUGUAAGUCAAGAACGAGUGUGAGAGUGGAAAGUUCACACUGUGACGGUAGCUUACCAGAAAGGGACGGCUAACUACGUGCCAGCAGCCGCGGUAAUACGUAGGUCCCGAGCGUUGUCCGGAUUUAUUGGGCGUAAAGCGAGCGCAGGCGGUUUGAUAAGUCUGAAGUUAAAGGCUGUGGCUCAACCAUAGUUCGCUUUGGAAACUGUCAAACUUGAGUGCAGAAGGGGAGAGUGGAAUUCCAUGUGUAGCGGUGAAAUGCGUAGAUAUAUGGAGGAACACCGGUGGCGAAAGCGGCUCUCUGGUCUGUAACUGACGCUGAGGCUCGAAAGCGUGGGGAGCGAACAGGAUUAGAUACCCUGGUAGUCCACGCCGUAAACGAUGAGUGCUAGGUGUUGGAUCCUUUCCGGGAUUCAGUGCCGCAGCUAACGCAUUAAGCACUCCGCCUGGGGAGUACGACCGCAAGGUUGAAACUCAAAGGGAUUGACGGGGGCCCGCACAAGCGGUGGAGCAUGUGGUUUAAUUCGAAGCAACGCGAAGAACCUUACCAGGUCUUGACAUCCCGAUGCUAUUUCUAGAGAUAGAAAGUUACUUCGGUACAUCGGUGACAGGUGGUGCAUGGUUGUCGUCAGCUCGUGUCGUGAGAUGUUGGGUUAAGUCCCGCAACGAGCGCAACCCCUAUUGUUAGUUGCCAUCAUUCAGUUGGGCACUCUAGCGAGACUGCCGGUAAUAAACCGGAGGAAGGUGGGGAUGACGUCAAAUCAUCAUGCCCCUUAUGACCUGGGCUACACACGUGCUACAAUGGUUGGUACAACGAGUUGCGAGUCGGUGACGGCAAGCUAAUCUCUUAAAGCCAAUCUCAGUUCGGAUUGUAGGCUGCAACUCGCCUACAUGAAGUCGGAAUCGCUAGUAAUCGCGGAUCAGCACGCCGCGGUGAAUACGUUCCCGGGCCUUGUACACACCGCCCGUCACACCACGAGAGUUUGUAACACCCGAAGUCGGUGAGGUAACCUUUUGGAGCCAGCCGCCUAAGGUGGGAUAGAUGAUUGGGGUGAAGUCGUAACAAGGUAGCC
RNAcentral lists this ribosomal RNA (1509 nucleotides) under uncultured bacterium. RNAcentral's name for it is "bacterial SSU rRNA". It matches the Rfam family "Bacterial small subunit ribosomal RNA". The record is from RNAcentral.